GACGUAGGGCGCGAGCGUUGUCCGGAUUUAUUGGGCGUAAAGAGCUCGUAGGCGGCUUGUCGCGUCGUCCGUGAAAACCUGGGGCUCAACCCCAGGCUUGCGGUCGAUACGGGCAGGCUAGAGUUCGGUAGGGGAGACUGGAAUUCCUGGUGUAGCGGUGAAAUGCGCAGAUAUCAGGAGGAACACCGGUGGCGAAGGCGGGUCUCUGGGCCGAUACUGACGCUGAGACGCGAAAGCGUGGGGAGCAAACAGG
Molecule: ribosomal RNA, 253 nt
Filed under: uncultured bacterium
Lineage: Bacteria
Description: partial 16S ribosomal RNA
Rfam family: Bacterial small subunit ribosomal RNA
Source: RNAcentral